This is a non-coding RNA of Xenopus laevis (African clawed frog), 376 nucleotides long. The record is from the annotation of a RefSeq genome assembly. Lineage: Eukaryota; Metazoa; Chordata; Amphibia; Anura; Pipidae.
UCACAUUGUCAAUAUGAAAUCAUUUUAUUCUUUUGUAAUAACACUGUCAUAUUUAUCAGGAUGUCACUGUGAUGUACAACUUGCCCAGUCAGAGUCAGUGGUGAUAAAGCCGGGAGGGUCUCACAAACUGUCCUGCACAGCCUCUGGCUUCACAUUCAGUAGCAACUGGAUGAAUUGGGUUAGACAGGCUCCUGGGAAAGGAUUACAAUGGGUGUCUUAUAUUAGUACUGAUGGAAGUGACACAUACUACCCUAGCUCAUUUGAAGGAAGAUUCACCAUCUCCAGAGACAAUAAUAACAACAAGUUAUAUCUGCAAAUGAACAAUCUACAAACUGAAGACACUGCCGUUUAUUACUGUUCUUCUGUGACUCAGUGA